CCUGGCUCAGGACGAACGCUGGCGGCGUGCCUAAUACAUGCAAGUCGAACGAACUCUGGUAUUGAUUGGUGCUUGCAUCAUGAUUUACAUUUGAGUGAGUGGCGAACUGGUGAGUAACACGUGGGAAACCUGCCCAGAAGCGGGGGAUAACACCUGGAAACAGAUGCUAAUACCGCAUAACAACUUGGACCGCAUGGUCCGAGUUUGAAAGAUGGCUUCGGCUAUCACUUUUGGAUGGUCCCGCGGCGUAUUAGCUAGAUGGUGGGGUAACGGCUCACCAUGGCAAUGAUACGUAGCCGACCUGAGAGGGUAAUCGGCCACAUUGGGACUGAGACACGGCCCAAACUCCUACGGGAGGCAGCAGUAGGGAAUCUUCCACAAUGGACGAAAGUCUGAUGGAGCAACGCCGCGUGAGUGAAGAAGGGUUUCGGCUCGUAAAACUCUGUUGUUAAAGAAGAACAUAUCUGAGAGUAACUGUUCAGGUAUUGACGGUAUUUAACCAGAAAGCCACGGCUAACUACGUGCCAGCAGCCGCGGUAAUACGUAGGUGGCAAGCGUUGUCCGGAUUUAUUGGGCGUAAAGCGAGCGCAGGCGGUUUUUUAAGUCUGAUGUGAAAGCCUUCGGCUCAACCGAAGAAGUGCAUCGGAAACUGGGAAACUUGAGUGCAGAAGAGGACAGUGGAACUCCAUGUGUAGCGGUGAAAUGCGUAGAUAUAUGGAAGAACACCAGUGGCGAAGGCGGCUGUCUGGUCUGUAACUGACGCUGAGGCUCGAAAGUAUGGGUAGCAAACAGGAUUAGAUACCCUGGUAGUCCAUACCGUAAACGAUGAAUGCUAAGUGUUGGAGGGUUUCCGCCCUUCAGUGCUGCAGCUAACGCAUUAAGCAUUCCGCCUGGGGAGUACGGCCGCAAGGCUGAAACUCAAAGGAAUUGACGGGGGCCCGCACAAGCGGUGGAGCAUGUGGUUUAAUUCGAAGCUACGCGAAGAACCUUACCAGGUCUUGACAUACUAUGCAAAUCUAAGAGAUUAGACGUUCCCUUCGGGGACAUGGAUACAGGUGGUGCAUGGUUGUCGUCAGCUCGUGUCGUGAGAUGUUGGGUUAAGUCCCGCAACGAGCGCAACCCUUAUUAUCAGUUGCCAGCAUUAAGUUGGGCACUCUGGUGAGACUGCCGGUGACAAACCGGAGGAAGGUGGGGAUGACGUCAAAUCAUCAUGCCCCUUAUGACCUGGGCUACACACGUGCUACAAUGGAUGGUACAACGAGUUGCGAACUCGCGAGAGUAAGCUAAUCUCUUAAAGCCAUUCUCAGUUCGGAUUGUAGGCUGCAACUCGCCUACAUGAAGUCGGAAUCGCUAGUAAUCGCGGAUCAGCAUGCCGCGGUGAAUACGUUCCCGGGCCUUGUACACACCGCCCGUCACACCAUGAGAGUUUGUAACACCCAAAGUCGGUGGGGUAACCUUUUAGGAACCAGCCGCCUAAG
This 1478-nucleotide ribosomal RNA is filed under the name Lactiplantibacillus plantarum. Its description in RNAcentral is "bacterial SSU rRNA". It matches the Rfam family "Bacterial small subunit ribosomal RNA". The record is from RNAcentral. Lineage: Bacteria; Bacillati; Bacillota; Bacilli; Lactobacillales; Lactobacillaceae.